This is a long non-coding RNA of Platichthys flesus (European flounder), 530 nucleotides long. RefSeq lists it as uncharacterized. NCBI's taxonomy places the organism in Eukaryota, Metazoa, Chordata, Actinopteri, Pleuronectiformes, Pleuronectidae. The record is from RefSeq and is a predicted model, not a curated record. The transcript has 3 exons.
GACAUCCAUUGUUUGGAAAAAUACAGGAAGCUGUUUCCCCGUGGAGCUCCAGCAGUGCUUAGAGGGCUAAAAAACCUUCACCUGACAUCUUAUCAGCAAGGGGAAACCAGAUGUGACAGCGGUACGCACCGUUGUACUCCGAGGCCUCCCUGUUCUACUUGGUGAUGACCCCAGUGACUUCUACAACACCUGCUUCGAUUGUGACACUGAUGAGACCUGGGUAAAAGUAUCUGUCGGGGUGCUGACUGUUCUCCCUGAAGAUCUGCAACUCCUUCCAAAUCAGCUCCACCUUCACCCAAUGUCUACUGCCAUCAUUGUUGAGAGAGGUAUUGUAAUGGAUGAACUCCAGAACCUACCUGAGGCACUUUGCCUUUUGUUUGGAAUGUCAUACGCUUUGCAUUUAGACUACCCUAAAGCCAUGAAAAACACUUUCUGCUUCAUUCAAAGAGUGAUGCUUGGCUUGGGAGAGGACAAACUCCCACCAAAAUUGCAAAGUCUUAAAAAUCUCUUGUUGAGUUAGAAUGCAAAUG